ACGAAUGUGGCCAUGAGGACUYCCUUCAGGUUCAGGGAGCCUCGGUUUGGGCGUUUGCGCGGUGGGGGACCCGCGGUCGGGCCYUGCCGGCGCAAGUCCUUCCAGGCUUCUGCAAUCCCGUCUGGAGUCCGCCAACGGCGGCCGUUCGCGGUCGAGGAGGGUCGUGGGGCAGGUGCCUCUUCGCCGACCCCUCGCGGGUUUGGGGAGGAGAGCUUACAGCCUUCGGCUCGGUGGACCGGGAACGGCCGAGGAGCGUUGCGACCAGUCGCACGGCGUARCGCAGGCCCCCGCACGGAGGGGCCGGGUCGCUUCUGCACUUGCGUGCCUCGCGGCGAGCCACUGCUCGCAGUGACAGCUGACGGUAGGUGCGCUUGUGCGGGACGCGGCCCACGAUUUGCUCUUCCGUCGUUGGUGUGCGUAUGGCUCCCUC
Molecule: ribosomal RNA, 430 nt
Filed under: Eurypon cf. cinctum CM-2010
Lineage: Eukaryota; Metazoa; Porifera; Demospongiae; Axinellida; Raspailiidae
Description: partial 28S ribosomal RNA
Source: RNAcentral